GCAACAGCAAGACUCCGUCUCAAAAAAGAAAAAAUUUUAUCUGUCCCUGUAGAGCAUGAUGUUCUGAGAUUGUUGGCCCGAACAGAGCUCUGAACAUUCAAGUUGUCUGAGAGGAAUAGGAAUUUAAAUAAGCUUUACUUGAGUACUACUAUGAGCUAAGCAUUAAAGUAGCAUCUAGGCAUUAAAGUAGUAUACUAGGCAUUCAAAUAGCACCACAGCUAGCUUAUUACUGCCUUUUUGCAAUCUAGAGAAAGCCCUCCUUUUCCUGUAGUGGGCACAGGACUUCUCUAGGGCACAUUUACUUUUAGCUCCUGAUCACCAACUUGCCUAAGUGUCUUGAGCAGUGCACAUACAACUCAACCAUACUUGGUUAGUGCUAUCCUGAGGAUAAAACAGGUAAGUUAGACACUAGCUUGGCUUUCAAGGAAUUCACAAAUUAAUUGUGGUGAUGACAAUGUAUAAAAAAUAUGAUAUAAAAAUACUAAGUGUAUAAUGAGGGUACGAAAAAUAUGUGCUGUGGAAACCCAUCAUAUAAAGCUAAUAACUGAAAUGAUUAACAAAUUUCUACAACUCUUAUUCAAUAAAGAAUUGUAAGUCUGUGGCCUAAAUUGCUAGGUUUUUGAAAUAUUCAAGAUCAUCAAUUGCAUCAUUCCUGAACUUGCUUACCCUUAGAGGAUAGUUGUUUGUGAGAACUGAGAACAAUUAACUAAUCUUAGUACCCACUUAACAUAAAACAUCUCCUCCCUGACAGAAGAAAUAAUUACAUAAUCACACUUUGGGAUAGACCUUCAUUCUAACAAGAAAAAAAGCUGUCUUUUUUUCUCACCUGUUUUCUGGUGGCUGCACUCUAAAAACCUCAAGAUAAUACUUCUUUGUGAUGUCAGCAAGGCUUUCACAGAGAUGAUGUACUUUAUCUCAAUAUUUCAGAAUUUCAGGUGAAGAUAUUUGUGCUUCAUAAUAGUGGAAAAUGUGAGAGCAAAGUAUUCGCUGUGGAAGAAGUGUUUUGUGCAAAUGCUUUGAACUGCAGAAGCAAAAAUGAUGCAGUGUAUUCAGCAAGGAGCUCUGACUGGCUACAACAUAUGGGUCUAUAUGUGCAAAGUCAAGGAAAAAGAAGAUGUGCAAGGUAGGAUCUGCUUCUCCAGUUGAACUCUGACAAACACAGAUUUUGAUAACUGCAAGUAGGGUACUGCUGUAACAAAUACCUAAAAAUAUGGAAAUGACUUUGGAAUUGGGUAAUGGGUAGAAGCUGGAAAAAUUUUGAGAUGUAUGAUUGGAAAGGCCUAGAUUUCCUUUAAUAGACCAUUAGUAGAAAUAUGGAUGUUAACAACUUUGCUAGUGAGGAUUUAGAAUAAAGGGAAGGGCAGGGUAAAGAAAACAUGUAUUUUCUUAUUACCUAAAUUGUCAUAAAGAGGAUGCUUAUAGAAUAUUUAUAUUAAAUGUGAUGCCAGAGAAAUAACAUCAUCUUAGAGAAUACAUAAAUAAUUAUGAAUAUAUUAUUUAGAGAAAUAUAAAUCUUAAAAGUGCUGCCAGUGAGGGCUCAGAAAUAAGGAACAUGCUAUUGAAAAUUGAAUGAAAAGAUAUCCUUGCUAUAUAGUGGCAGAAAGCUAGCUGAAUUGUGUCAUUCAGUUAUGUGAAAAGCAGAACUUGUGAAUGAUAGACUUAAGUAACAGGACAUUUCCAAGCAAAGUGUUAAGGUGCAGCUGGUUUCUUCUUCUGGCUUAUAGCAAAAAGCAAGAGGAAAGAGACAGUUUAACUUUAAACUGUUAAACAAAGUGGAACUAGGACUUGAUGAUUUUGGAAGCUUCAGUCUCUCCAGAUUACAAAAUAUGCUAUAAUUAGGAGAUUUGUUGUCAGAAAAGCAUACUUUCAAGAGACAACCAAAGGUAUGGCUAAACAAGUUUUGUCUAGUGCCUCAGAAUGAUUGAAAGAUGCACUUGUACAGAGAACUCUUUGAAGAGAUUAGGCGUGGGACACCCACAAUGUUCUUGACAAUGUUAUACCAGCAGAAAUACUGCCAGCUUGGACCUUGGAUCAAAAAAGACAAAGAGAGUACUGGCUACAGCAUCCUUAAACAGAUUGAUGAGACAAAUAAUCUGCAAACAUGUACUCUCUUUCAAGAGAAAGAAUAACUCCUAGGGCAUAGUGAGGUGCCCAGAAGGUAAAGCCACAAUCUCAGAGGAUUAUUUCCAGGACUUGAAACCGAAUGAAGCUUAUCCAGAUGAUAUCAGAAUUACUUGGAUUAGCGACGCCUUUCUUUCUUUUUUUUUUUUCUUUCCUUCCCAUUUUAAAUGAAAGUGAAUAUAUACUAUUAUCAUUAGUCUGUCUACCAUUUCAUUUUGGGUGAACAUAACUAAUUUCUUGAAUUUUAGUGGACCACAGCUAGAGAUGAAUUGUGACUCUGGAUGGAUUAUAUCAAAAGCCUCACCCACAUCUGAUUUAGAUAAGGAGAUUUGGGACUUUGGAGUUGAUGAUAUUUUGAUGAGCUAUUAAACUUUGCUUUGAUGCUACAAUUAAUUAAGACUUUGGGAAUGUUAAAAUGGGAUGAAUGUACCUGGAAUGUAAGACAGACGUGAAUAUUUGGAGCCAAAAAGUAGACUGUUAUAGGCAGAAUAAUGUCAUUACCCAAAAAAUGUUCGUGUCCUAAUCCCCAGAAACUGUGAAUAGGUUGUUACAUAGCCAGAGAGAAUUAAAGUGACAGAUGAAAUUAAGGUUGCUAGUCAGCUAACCUUACAAAUAAAGAGAUUGUCCUAGAUUGUCUAAAAUAAUCUAAUAAUGUAAUUACAAGGAUCAUUUAUAUGCUAAAAAGGGAAGUAGAAGAGUUAGUGUUAGAGUAAUGCAAUGCGAGAAAGACCUAACUGGUUAAUGCUGGCUUUGAAGAUAGACGGGAAUCACUAAUCAAGAAAUAUAGACAGCCUCUGUAAAGUGCAAAUGGCAGAAAAUUCAUCUUUUUAGUCUCCAGAAACCAAUGCACUCCUGCCAACACUUUGGUUUUGGUCCAGUGAAAUCCAUUUUAGAUUUAUGACCUGCAGAACCAUAAGAUAACUAAUUUGUGUUGUUUUGAACCACUUAGUUCAUUGUAAUUUGUUACAGUAGCAAUAGGAAUAUAAUACAGGUUUGGGGGUACAAUUUUUCUUAUUAUUUCUCUUUUCCAAGCUCUUUGCAAUAUUAUCAUUGCCAUUGAACUAUCUUUUUUUUUUUUUUCAAAUUCAGAAAAGGUUAGAAAUUUUCCCAAUGUUCCACAGCUAGUAGCUGAAACUCAGACCUAUGGCUUCAGUCUGACCUGACUAAAUUGUGUAUGCUUUCCACUCUACUACAUUGACCUAAAUAUUACAGAACAGUAAAAAAUUAACCUGGAUGCCAUUUUACAGAUUUAUACAUUCAACCAACAAUAAUUGUGCUUUAUCACAGCUGGCUUUAUGGGAAACACUGAAAAUAAAAGAUAAGAGUGUGCCUGCUCUAGAGAAGCUAAAAGUUAAAAUAUAUACAAAACUAGAAAGUUUAAAGUUACUAUUUUGAUGUGGAAGUUAUCUUUUUAUUAUGACAGCAAAGACUGACUUGCAGGCCAUUCCAAAUCCAUUUUGCAUAAGUAAUGAUUUAAUUAUGCUACUCUCAAGCCAAUACAUCCCUAGUAAUUUUUGCUAACAUAAUGUGAAAGCCUUCUGUCUGAUAUGUAAACUUUCAUAGAAUAUGAUCCCAAUCAACACAUCAGAACUCUUUUCUUUUGAAUCUCUAACAUGAAUCCUUACCUAAUACACCAUACCUUUGUCUGUCUCUUGAAAGUAUCUUUUCUGACAGCAAAUCUCCUAAUUGUAGCAUCUUUUGUAAUCUGGAGAGACUGAAAUUUCUAAAAUCACCAAGUCCUACUUCCACUUUGCUUAACAGUUAACAAUGAAACUUUAUACUUAAAUGAUAUAGACUGGUUGAAUAAAUUUUUUAAAACACCCAACUAUAUGCUGCAUAUAAGAAACUCAUCACACCUAUAAAGACAUCUAUAGCAAUUCUCUUGCCUCAGCCUGCCAAGCAUCUGGGACUACUGGUGUGCACAGCCACAUCUGGCUUAUUUUUAAAUUUUCUGUAUAGUCUGAGUCUUGCUAUGUUGCCCAGGCUGGUCUCAAAUUCAUGGGCUCAAGUGAUCCACUUCCAC
This 4144-nucleotide long non-coding RNA is filed under the name Homo sapiens (human). Its description in RNAcentral is "HSALNT0138829". The record is from RNAcentral. Lineage: Eukaryota; Metazoa; Chordata; Mammalia; Primates; Hominidae.